RNAcentral lists this ribosomal RNA (455 nucleotides) under uncultured bacterium. RNAcentral's name for it is "bacterial SSU rRNA". It matches the Rfam family "Bacterial small subunit ribosomal RNA", at positions 340 to 786 of the family's 1533-position model. The record is from RNAcentral.
UACGGAAGGCAGCAGUGGGGAAUAUUGCACAAUGGGCGCAAGCCUGAUGCAGCCAUGCCGCGUGUAUGAAAAAGGCCUUCGGGUUGUAAAGUACUUUCAGUCGUGAGGAAGGUGUUAAGGUUAAUAACCUUAGCAAUUGACGUUAGCGACAGAAGAAGCACCGGCUAACUCCGUGCCAGCAGCCGCGGUAAUACGGAGGGUGCGAGCGUUAAUCGGAAUUACUGGGCGUAAAGGGCACGCAGGCGGUUAAUUAAGUUGGAUGUGAAAUCCCCGGGCUUAACCUGGGAAUGGCAUUCAAGACUGGUUAGCUAGAGUCUUGUAGAGGGGGUUAGAAUUCCAUGUGUAGCGGUGAAAUGCGUAGAGAUGUGGAGGAAUACCGGUGGCGAAGGCGGCCCCUGGACAAAGGACUGACGCUCAUGUGCGAAAGCGUGGGGAGCAAACAGGGAUUAGAUACC